Molecule: ribosomal RNA, 264 nt
Filed under: uncultured bacterium
Lineage: Bacteria
Description: partial 16S ribosomal RNA
Rfam family: Bacterial small subunit ribosomal RNA
Source: RNAcentral
GUCCACGCCGUAAACGAUGUCGACUAGCCGUUGGAGACCUUAGUGUUUUUAGUGGCGAAGCUAACGCGAUAAGUCGACCGCCUGGGGAGUACGGCCGCAAGGUUAAAACUCAAAUGAAUUGACGGGGGCCCGCACAAGCGGUGGAGCAUGUGGUUUAAUUCGAUGCAACGCGAAGAACCUUACCAGGUCUUGACAUCCAGAGAACUUUCCAGAGAUGGAUUGGUGCCGCAAGGAGCUCUGAGACAGGUGCUGCAUGGCUGUCGU